AUUGAACGCUGGCGGCAGGCUUAACACAUGCAAGUCGAGCGGGGUGAUGGUGCUUGCACUAUCACUUAGCGGCGGACGGGUGAGUAAUGCUUAGGAAUCUGCCUAUUAGUGGGGGACAACAUCUCGCAAGGGAUGCUAAUACCGCAUACGUCCUACGGGAGAAAGCAGGGGAUCACUUGUGACCUUGCGCUAAUAGAUGAGCCUAAGUCGGAUUAGCUAGUUGGUGGGGUAAAGGCCUACCAAGGCGACGAUCUGUAUCGGGUCUGAGAGGAUGAUCCGCCACACUGGGACUGAGACACGGCCCAGACUCCUACGGGAGGCAGCAGUGGGGAAUAUUGGACAAUGGGGGGAACCCUGAUCCAGCCAUGCCGCGUGUGUGAAGAAGGCCUUAUGGUUGUAAAGCACUUUAAGCGAGGAGGAGGCUCUUUUGGUUAAUACCCAAGAUGAGUGGACGUUACUCGCAGAAUAAGCACCGGCUAACUCUGUGCCAGCAGCCGCCGUAA
RNAcentral lists this ribosomal RNA (503 nucleotides) under uncultured bacterium. RNAcentral's name for it is "partial 16S ribosomal RNA". It matches the Rfam family "Bacterial small subunit ribosomal RNA", at positions 30 to 523 of the family's 1533-position model. The record is from RNAcentral.